CCUACGGGUGGCUGCAGUGGGGAAUAUUGGACAAUGGGGGGAACCCUGAUCCAGCGACGCCGCGUGAGUGAAGAAGUAUUUCGGUAUGUAAAGCUCUAUCAGCAGGGAAGAAAAUGACGGUACCUGACUAAGAAGCCCCGGCUAACUACGUGCCAGCAGCCGCGGUAAUACGUAGGGGGCAAGCGUUAUCCGGAUUUACUGGGUGUAAAGGGAGCGUAGACGGUGCAGCAAGUCUGAUGUGAAAUCCCGUGGCUCAACCACGGAACUGCAUUUGAAACUGGCGGUCUUGAGUACCGGAGAGGCAGGCGGAAUUCCUAGUGUAGCGGUGAAAUGCGUAGAUAUUAGGAGGAACACCAGUGGCGAAGGCGGCCUGCUGGACGACAACUGACGGUGAGGCGCGAAAGCGUGGGGAGCAAACAGGAUUAGAUACCCGAGUAGUC
RNAcentral lists this ribosomal RNA (440 nucleotides) under uncultured bacterium. RNAcentral's name for it is "partial 16S ribosomal RNA". It matches the Rfam family "Bacterial small subunit ribosomal RNA", at positions 338 to 795 of the family's 1533-position model. The record is from RNAcentral.